UACGUAGGGCGCAAGCGUUAUCCGGAAUUAUUGGGCGUAAAGAGCUCGUAGGCGGUUUGUCGCGUCUGCCGUGAAAGUCCGGGGCUCAACUCCGGAUCUGCGGUGGGUACGGGCAGACUAGAGUGAUGUAGGGGAGACUGGAAUUCCUGGUGUAGCGGUGAAAUGCGCAGAUAUCAGGAGGAACACCGAUGGCGAAGGCAGGUCUCUGGGCCGAUACUGACGCUGAGGCGCGAAAGCGUGGGGAGCAAACAGG
This 253-nucleotide ribosomal RNA is filed under the name uncultured bacterium. RNAcentral describes it as "partial 16S ribosomal RNA". It matches the Rfam family "Bacterial small subunit ribosomal RNA", at positions 524 to 776 of the family's 1533-position model. The record is from RNAcentral.